RNAcentral lists this ribosomal RNA (301 nucleotides) under uncultured bacterium. RNAcentral's name for it is "partial 16S ribosomal RNA". It matches the Rfam family "Bacterial small subunit ribosomal RNA", at positions 509 to 807 of the family's 1533-position model. The record is from RNAcentral.
CAGUAGCCGCGGGAAUACGAAGGGUGCAAGCGUUACUCGGAAUUACUGGGCGUAAAGCGUGCGUAGGUGGUGGUUUAAGUCCGUUGUGAAAGCCCUGGGCUCAACCUGGGAAUUGCAGUGGAUACUGGGUCACUAGAGUGUGGUAGAGGAUAGUGGAAUUUCCGGUGUAGCAGUGAAAUGCGUAGAGAUUGGAAGGAACAUCUGUGGCGAAGGCGACUAUCUGGGCCAACACUGACACUGAGGCACGAAAGCGUGGGGAGCAAACAGGAUUAGAUACCCGAGUAGUCCCUGUCUCUUAUAC